GAUGAACGCUGGCGGCGUGCCUAAUACAUGCAAGUCGAGCGAACAGACGAGGAGCUUGCUCCUCUGACGUUAGCGGCGGACGGGUGAGUAACACGUGGAUAACCUACCUAUAAGACUGGGAUAACUUCGGGAAACCGGAGCUAAUACCGGAUAAUAUAUUGAACCGCAUGGUUCAAUAGUGAAAGACGGUUUUGCUGUCACUUAUAGAUGGAUCCGCGACGCAUUAGCUAGUUGGUAAGGUAACGGCUUACCAAGGCGACGAUGCGUAGCCGACCUGAGAGGGUGAUCGGCCACACUGGAACUGAGACACGGUCCAGACUCCUAAGGGAGGCAGCAGUAGGGAAUCUUCCGCAAUGGGCGUAAGCCUGACAGAGCAAAGCCGCGUGAGUGAUGAAGGUCUUCGGAUCGUGAAACUCUGUUAUUAGGGAAGAACAAAUGUGUAAGUAACUAUGCACGUCUUGACGGUACCUAAUCAGAAAGCCACGGCUAACUACGUG
Molecule: ribosomal RNA, 497 nt
Filed under: uncultured bacterium
Lineage: Bacteria
Description: partial 16S ribosomal RNA
Rfam family: Bacterial small subunit ribosomal RNA
Source: RNAcentral